AUUAAAACACCAGUUCCCAUAUGAUCACUGAAGUUAAGCAACAUCAAACCUGAUCAGUAUCUAGAUGGGCGACUGCUUGGGAUUACCAGGUGCUGUAAG
Molecule: non-coding RNA, 99 nt
Organism: Acanthosepion pharaonis
Lineage: Eukaryota; Metazoa; Mollusca; Cephalopoda; Sepiida; Sepiidae
Source: the annotation of a GenBank genome assembly